This 276-nucleotide unclassified non-coding RNA is filed under the name uncultured fungus. Its description in RNAcentral is "sequence contains ITS1". The record is from RNAcentral. Lineage: Eukaryota; Fungi.
UUUAUACGUUAUUUUAUUGACUCGUUGCCGAAGCGCAGAGUAUAAUAAGUUCGUAAUCAAGCAAUCAUCGCACUGAAACAGUGGAUAAUAAAUAAAUUGAGCCAUUUCUACAUCCCACACAUCACGUAAGCAAUGGCGGUCUGCGUAAACGAAAUGGCCAAAAUAAAGAAAGUUCGCGGGUCAUACCUACAUUGCAACGCAAUCAAUGAAGACUGACAUGCAACGAGGCAUUAUUGAGGUGUGGUAAUGAUCCUUCCGCAGGUUCACCUACGGAAA